RNAcentral lists this ribosomal RNA (483 nucleotides) under uncultured bacterium. RNAcentral describes it as "partial 16S ribosomal RNA". It matches the Rfam family "Bacterial small subunit ribosomal RNA", at positions 30 to 506 of the family's 1533-position model. The record is from RNAcentral.
AUUGAACGCUGGCGGCAGGCCUAACACAUGCAAGUCGAGCGGAUGAAGGGAGCUUGCUCCUGGAUUCAGCGGCGGACGGGUGAGUAAUGCCUAGGAAUCUGCCUGGUAGUGGGGGAUAACGUCCGGAAACGGGCGCUAAUACCGCAUACGUCCUGAGGGAGAAAGUGGGGGAUCUUCGGACCUCACGCUAUCAGAUGAGCCUAGGUCGGAUUAGCUAGUUGGUGGGGUAAAGGCCUACCAAGGCGACGAUCCGUAACUGGUCUGAGAGGAUGAUCAGUCACACUGGAACUGAGACACGGUCCAGACUCCGACGGGAGGCAGCAGUGGGGAAUAUUGGACAAUGGGCGAAAGCCUGAUCCAGCCAUGCCGCGUGUGUGAAGAAGGUCUUCGGAUUGUAAAGCACUUUAAGUUGGGAGGAAGGGCAGUAAGUUAAUACCUUGCUGUUUGGACGUUACCAACAGAAUAAGCACCGGCGAACUUCGU